GAGUAUCUAUGUGGUAAAUGAUCUCUGGAAAUAAACAAAACAAUUUACAUAUCCAACCACCAGGGACUGGGUACUAAAUAAGAGGAUAUUCUUAAAAUGGAUUUAGUCAAUGAAAAUCAUGUUUUCAAAGAUCAUAUAAGUGAGAAAGUAUAAAACUACAUAUCUGGCAUAACCAUCUUUUGUUUAAAAAGAUAUGUAGAUGUAUACAUAAUACACAGAAAAAUGACUAAAAUGAAAUAUGCCAAAUGUUAACAAUUACUAUCUUUGGAUGGUAGUAUUAAGAGGUAUUUUAAUUUUCUUUAUAUUUUCCUGUGUAUCCCUCAAUUUUAUAUAUUAAGCACGUGCUAAUUUUAUAAUUUGGAAAAGCAUUAUUUGAAAAUAAAGUUUGCUGUCUUAAAGUAUCGGCAAAAUGGAAUUAGAUUAAAAUUAUUCUUAAAUAAUAAACUUUAGCCUAUCUUAAUGCUAACUUUUAGCAACAAACCAAUUUGCAUUUUAAAAGUUUGUUUUGCAAACACACUGAGGUAUAACAAACAAAAGAUGUUCUUUACUAAUGUAUUUUUUACAGAUGAGCUUAUUUUUAACUCCACAGACUUAAUAAAAUAAAUAAUGGCUCUGUCCAUAUCAACCUUUCAGAAGGUGUGAGCACAAGCUAAAAUAUACAUGAGUUUCUGUAAGUUUUCAUGACUUUGCAGCAUCUUAAGGUUUUAAAAUAGAAUAGCCCGUGAAAAGAGAAGAGUACUAAACGGAAAAAUUAGUACUGGCCUAGGAAGUGAUUCACAUGAGAAAGUGAAUUCUUGAAGCCUAAUUUACAAAUGCCUAUGGAAUCGCAUAACACAGCUCAUUACACCUGGAUUUCGAUGUAACAGAGUAGAUCUGACAAAGAAUCAAAGACCUUUAAGCUGAAAGCUUCUUUAUUUUGCAGGGGAGGACAUGAACUUUGCAAAUGAGGAGCCAGAAAGAACUGACUUGCUCAAGGUCACAUGACUUAUAACUCAGGUUUCCUGACUUAUUAGUUCACUGGCUCAGGAACAGCCACUACUCAGCUAAGACAUGGUAUUGUUUCGGACUUCAUCUCACAUAUGUAAUGAAAAUCUCUGUGUCAAUGAAUCACCUAGACCAAGUUCCUGUUAAUUUCACAAGAGUUCCUGGAAGCAAAGAUGUGACGGUAUCAGAAAGAAACUCAUGAUAGCCCAAGGACCACAGUUACAUCUCAUCUAGCCUUGCCUUUUCCUCUUUGGGAAAGGAAAUCUAAUUGCUCUGGAGACACAACCAUAACACUGACCUUCCUUUUUUCCUGAGUAGAGGAGAAUUAAAUAAACCCUGGGACUUCUCACUUGAAACAGAACAUCAACACCCAUUAAAAGUCUGUCUACUGCACAGUUAACCUAUCUUAGAAGAGUUAGUGCCUCUUCAGGCACUAGCAGAAAACAAAGCUUCCAAAUCAUUAUCAGGAUGGUAGGAUGCUUUUCUUUACUUGUUUAAAAAAGAAAAAAAAUCCAUACAUGAGAAUAAGAAUUAUGGACACCAUGUAUGAAAUGUGCCCUAACAUAAAGUUUUUCUUUCCCCAGGCCCUUCACUGCAAAGACUCUAUGUUUAAAUGUUUCAUUUACUUGCAGCAUGCUAAUUGCCACUAGACCCCACUUGCCAAUUGAUAAACAGGUGUCAAGCAUAACACUGGAUUUAGAAGGCCAUAUCUGUCAUCUUACAAUGAUAUUCUACUUAAUAAAUUCAUCAUCACUGACUUAGCCACUUGCUACAAAGCUAUCAGAGUUGAAUGUAAAGAAGCUGGAAAAACAUUCGCUGAAUUUCCUAUCCAAAUAUAACCACCAUCUUGGUCAGACACAUGGGCUCUUUGAUAUGAGAUAUGAAGAAGAUAUCCUCAGCUAGUUCGCUCAAUUCAGCAGCAACAUAAUAAAGAAGAAAAUGAAAUUAUUGUCAAGACAGUCUCAAGAACUGAAGGAAAUUCAGAUGAAAUAAAACUGGGCAGGAAGGAAAAGGAAGAGGGGAGAAGAAAAAAGGAGAAA
Molecule: long non-coding RNA, 2024 nt
Filed under: Homo sapiens (human)
Lineage: Eukaryota; Metazoa; Chordata; Mammalia; Primates; Hominidae
Description: HSALNT0345868
Source: RNAcentral